AUGUAACCGGACUGGCACGUUCGCCGUAAAACGCAACGGGUUGGAAAGGGAGAUAUUAUACACCCUAUGUUUAUUUACUUUUGUUGCUUUGGCGGGCCGCCUUAGGCGUCGGCCCCGGCUGAUUGCGCCCGCCAGAGGACCCAAACUCUUUUAUUAGUGAUGUCUGAGUACUAUAUAAUAGUUA
This 184-nucleotide unclassified non-coding RNA is filed under the name uncultured Helotiales. Its description in RNAcentral is "sequence contains ITS1". Lineage: Eukaryota; Fungi; Ascomycota; Leotiomycetes; Helotiales. The record is from RNAcentral.